GGCGAUUACUCCAAACGGAUUGGAAGCGGCCUGCAAAACCGUGGGAACGGGUUCGACUCCCGUAUUCGCCU
RNAcentral lists this transfer RNA (71 nucleotides) under Bifidobacterium breve. RNAcentral's name for it is "tRNA-Cys". It matches the Rfam family "tRNA". Rfam says of the family: Transfer RNA (tRNA) molecules are approximately 80 nucleotides in length. Their secondary structure includes four short double-helical elements and three loops (D, anti-codon, and T loops). Lineage: Bacteria; Bacillati; Actinomycetota; Actinomycetes; Bifidobacteriales; Bifidobacteriaceae. RNAcentral also lists the same sequence under 1 other name. The record is from RNAcentral.